UCGUUAAAGUAGAGUCGAUUAACAUUACAAUUAGUAUCGAUUUAGGAUUCAUUUAGGGUUAUGAUUAUUUCAGUCAUGUGUUUUGUUAUUUUGCCCUGUUUUGAUUCUGUGAUUUAAUUGACGUUUGGUUUCAAUUCAAAGAUUAGUAUUAACUUAGAACUUUCAGUGUUAUUUUACUUGGUCAUACAUUGAUUUUAGAGUUAAUAUCGUUGUUAGUUCAAAAAUUUAGGAUUUGUUUUGUUUAGAUGUUCGACUUUUCUGAAAUAUUGGUUUAACCAUGGUUAGUCUAGAGGGUUAGGAUUAAUAGACCAGGGUGGAAUGAGUUUAUUCAGUUUAGUAAUUUUUAGGUUCCAAAAGGAUAAUUUGGGGAUUAAACUAGAGGCAGGUUGGUUUUGGGGGAGGUAAUAACAUGGGUGUUAAAGGGAGGUUGUAUGUGAGGGAGUGAAGAGAGGAUUUCAGGUUUAUCUAGGGGAAUAGAGGGCUGAUUUGGGGGUCAAUUCUGGAGAGUUUUUGUGUCUGAUUGUUGAUGUGAUUGAGUUCUGUUUGGGUUGAAGUUCAACUUAAUUUCAAUAAAUCACAUUCGUUUGGACAAUUGCUGGUGUUGUGUUUCCUAGGGGGAACGAAUGAGAGAAUCGAGAAGCCUCUAUGGAUUUCAUGCCUCUAAAAGGCACUUUUCCGUGCCGUAGCGAACAAGUUUUUGAGCCUAGAAUUCCCCAAAAAAUUAGAAUUCCCUCAUUUUUCCUUCAGAUCAAAAACCGAAAUUCGAAUUCAAAAACAAAAAGCCAAAGACAAUAGAAAUCAAAAACCAAAAAAUCUAGAAGAUGCUAUCUGAUUACUUCUCCUUAGAUUACCUUUGAAUUUUAGCUUCAUUCGAGUUUUAGCUCAUUUCAAAAACAAAUAGAACAAUUUGAAUUUCUGUCGCUUUGUUUGAUAUUUAAAAUCUGAUUGUGUGAGUUUACUGGUGGAUCAAUGGUGGUUUAUUCAAGCUCACUCGACUGAAUAUUAGUGUUGUGUUUUCAAAAGUUGAUUCUGGAGAGUUUUUGGGUCUGAUUAUUGAUGUGGUUGAGUUCUGUUUGGGUUGAAUUUCACCUUAAUUUCAAUAAUCACAUUCGUUUGGACAAUUGCUGGUGUCGUGUUUCCUACACUUGUUUCUGAAUUGACUUUGCUGGAAUCUGAGCUAUUGUUCGAUUGCUACUCAUUUUGCUGCUGAUCUUCUCUUCUUCUUAUUGAACUUAUACUUCCAGGUACACAAUUUAACUCCAAGUUGAUGUAAUUUUGAAGUGGAAACAUAAAAUGAAUCGGAUCUAUGUUAUGGCUGCAAUUCUGCUCUCCUGUUAAUCUCUACUAUACUUUUGAGGAAUUUUGUAUGUGAUAUGAUAGGUUCCUUGUUGUAUUGAAUUAUAUGAACUAUAUUAUGGGAUUGUAUAUCUGAAUAUUAUUUUUUUGACAGUCUUAGUGUGUUAAUGUUGAAUUUCCAGUAGUUAAAAAGUCAAUACACAUGCCAUUUAGUCCCACCCGUUUCACGUAAAGGGCACGAGUGUCUUGUGUUCAGUUGAUAAUGCAAUUAUCUGAAGAACACUAAGGGAACAUCUUAAUAAUCUUGAGUUAACUGGACUAUUUUUGGGCUUACUAUUAACCUACGGAUUAUCAGCUGGGAUUGUGCCUGUGGAAGACCAAUUGAAAUUUAGUAAUAUAGUUUAAUUCCUGGCGAUUUUAAAAGAGUCCGUGUGCUUACAUAGUCGUUCAAGUGAUCCCUGUUAGUUAAGUACUGAUUAAUCAAAAUUGGUAUUAUUUUGGCCUAUUCACACUUUGGUUGAUUGAUAACAGAAUUUGAUAAGUUGUUUUGCCUCUCAUAAUCGUGUGAAAUUGAUACUUGAAAGUAAACUCGACAUAUGAUGUGAGGGAAUUUGUGCACUUUUCUAUAAUAAUUAGAAACAAUGUUAAUUAGGCUCUAUAUAUGUAUUAGGUUCGACCGUUGGAACCAGUUAAUUGGGCACUCGAUAGGGCAUGUGCUUCAUUUACGCUGGGCUUAGAUAUUGUUUUCAAGGUUUUGAGUUAGGUAGCGGGUUCAAACUAAGAGGCUCUUCCUUUUGUUUGGACCCGGAAUUGAACUCGAAGCCCGAAUUCAAAUGUAAUUAAUUAGGACCUUUUCUUUUCUUUUAGAAACAAAAACAAAUAGAAAAUAUAGUCGCUUUUAGGCUUAUCCUUUAAAAUAAAAUGAGACGAGCCUCGCCCAAUAAAAAGGCAAAAUUGUGUGACCCUCAAUAAAGGUAUAAAAAUAUUUUUAAAAUCGGAAAUGGUCGUUUAGCGAAUUUCACGACCCUCCCAAAAGAUGAUAAUGUGAUAGACUCUUUUAGACGCGAUUCUAAUAAAAUUACCUUCUUAUUUACGGGGCCCUCAAUAAAGGUUUAAAAAUAUUUAAAAAAUCGGGAAGGGUCGCUUAGCGAAUUUCGCGACCCUCCCAAAAGAUAAUGACGCGUUAGACUCUUUUUAGACACGACUCUAAUAAAAUUACAUUCUUAAACACGGGUGGGCAUUUCUAUAAUAAUUUAAAAACAAAAAAAAUAGUUCAAAUUUCUGUUGCUUUGUUUGAUAUUUGAAACCUAAUUGUGUGAGUUAACUGGUGGAUUAAUGGUGGUUUAUUCAAGAUCACUCGACUGAAUAUUAGUGUUGUGUUUUCAAAAGUCAAUUCUGGAGAGUUUUUGUGUCUGAUUGUUGAUGUGAUUGAGUUCUGUUUGGGUUGAAGUUCAACUUAAUUUCAAUAAAUCACAUUCGUUUGGACAAUUGCUGGUGUUGUGUUUCCUACACUUGUUUCUAAAUUGACUUUGCUGGAAUCUGAGCUAUUGUUUGAUUGCUGCUCAUUUUGCUGUUGAUCUUCUCUUCUUCUUAUUGAACUUCUACUUCCAGGUACACAUUCGAACCCCAAGUUGAUGUAACUUUGAAGUGGAAACAUGAAGUGAACCGGAUCUAUGUUAUGGAUGCAAUUCUGCCCUCCUGUUAAUCUCUACUAUAAUUUAGAGGAAUUUUGUAUGUGAUAUGAUAGGUUCCUCGUUGUAUUUAAUUAUAUGAACAGUAUUAUGGGAUUGUAUAUCUGAAUAUUAUUUUUUUGACAGUCUUAGUGUGUUAAAGUUGAAUUUCCAGUAGUUAAAAAAUGAAUAUAAACGCCAUUUAGUCCCACCUGUUUCAUGUAAAGGGCGCGAGUAUCUUGUAUUCAGUUUAUAAUGCAAUUAUCUGAAGAAUACUAAGGGAACAUCUUAAUAACCCUGAGUUAACUGGACUAUUUUGGGGCUUACUAUUAACCUAUAGAUUAUCAGCUGGGAUUGUGCCUGUGUAAGACCAAUUGAAAUUUAGUAAUGUAGUUUAAUUCCUA
This 3370-nucleotide long non-coding RNA is filed under the name Nicotiana benthamiana. RNAcentral describes it as "long non-coding RNA (NBEN_LNC012595)". The record is from RNAcentral. Lineage: Eukaryota; Viridiplantae; Streptophyta; Magnoliopsida; Solanales; Solanaceae.